Chelonia mydas (Green sea turtle) is the source of this 3111-nucleotide long non-coding RNA. RefSeq lists it as uncharacterized. NCBI's taxonomy places the organism in Eukaryota, Metazoa, Chordata, Testudines, Cheloniidae. The record is from RefSeq and is a predicted model, not a curated record. The transcript has 5 exons.
AGUUAUGUAAAUGUUCAGUGUUGUGGUCUCACCUGAAAACGGAAUGGCAGUUGGAUAUAAACACCGUCACGGGUUGAUGGUCCAUCUCCCUUUGGCAAUGGAGGCAUGGCGAGGAGGUGCCCCAAUCAGACGGCCAGAAGGGACCAUUGUGAUUCUGUAGCAGUCUGAUCUCCUGCAUAACACAGGCCAAAGAACUUCCUAGAAUCAUCCCUAGAAGAGAUCCUUUCGAAAAACAUCCACCUUGAUCUAAAAAUGUAUGCAUCCGAUGAAGUGAGCUGUAGCUCAUGAAAGCUUAUGCUCAAAUAAACUGGUUAGUCUCUAAGGUGCCACAAGUACUCCUUUUCUAUCUCCUGAACAGCUCUCCAAAGGUACAAAUACUAGAAGGUAAGUUCCUCACCCCAAAUUCUUCUUGCUCUAGGGUGACCCCUUUCCUCCAAAAUAAAAUGCCCUUUCAGGAGCUGAGCUUCAUCCCCAAGUGCAGCUGCAAACACAAACGAAGAGUGAAAGCUGCUGGCCAACACGGGGCGGAGAGUGGGGGUGUGAGAGAACUUGUAUUAAACAGGAAGGCAGCGAGUGGCAGAAAACCAGAACUGUCCCACUCCCCAGCCUGUACUGCAUUAGAUUAGAGGAAUGUAGUUCCAUUUGCCUGGUCCCUGACUGCUGAGCAGAGGUUGGGGCUUAUAAUGAAGGAGCAAUGGAGGAGAGCAACUGCUGGAAAAUGUGAAAGUAGAAGGCAUGUAACUGGCAGGACCACAGCCUGUGUGUAGGUGGGGGAGGGAAAUGCAGGGCAGAGCAUGUGUGUGUGAGGCUGAGCCUGGAGGUGCAGAACACAGGGUAUGUGCAUGGGGCAGGAAGGCAUCUAGAGCAGGUUGGAUGUGGGAAGUUGGCUUGUGUGGGGGGCAAGAGCAGAUGGUGUGUGUUGGGGGGUGGGAUGAGGACCUUAUUUAGUCUUUGUGUCACAGCAGGGUUUAGAGGGCACCAGAGGUGACAGGUAUAAUAGGCCAGAGAAGGCUAAGCCUUCCCUGGCACAGCUGCUGCAGUGGGAUGCCGUUUGCAGGAUUUUAAUUAUUAUUAUGCUCUAUGCAGGUUCUGGGGCAGCUGAGGGGGAGCCUCUCUAUUGGUUCAUGAGUGGCUGGGAGAAGCAUUCAUGUAACUCAGUUGGGUGUGUCCCUGUCUGUGGAUGUCUAUAGCAGGCGUUCUGUAGCGGCUGCAUACGAACUUCUCCCUCCAAAAACUCUCAAGUCCCUGGUGUCAUGGAUCACAAAGACCAACUCCAUGCCUAGGGAGGCGAGUGGAGACAACCCUGAAGGUCACAUGAAGCCAGAGCCUCUGCUGGUGUGAUUUGGCCCAUCCUCACCCUCGACUCAAUAAGAACCUGACCCCAAUCAGGAAGGAUGUCUGGGCCAGCCAGCUUUCUGGUGGUAGAGGGGCUGAAGAAACACUUUACCUUUAGAACCACAGGAUCCUCAGAAGUAAUGUAAGGAGGAGAGAAAUUCACUGACAUGGACCAGGUGUACUUGACGCCUCCUCAUUAAAUGACCCCUUCUUCUGCUGAGGACUGUUGGUCAGUGGCCUUCCAGGAAAAUAGGAAAGGUAGGAAGAGAAAUGAGAGAGAGACUAUGUGCAUGAGCUAAAUCCAAGGUAAAAUUCACAGUGAACUACUCUUGCCAAACAGCAUCAAGUUGCUGAGUUCCAAGUUCAUAGGAUUCCUGCCUUUUGGGUAGAAAACGAAGGACACUUAAUUGUACCUGUGAAAAUGUAUGCAAAUUAUUAAAUGAGCAAAUUUUGAAGAGUUGUAAAUAACUUCAUUUAAUCAUAAAUUUCAGGGCUUUUUUUUAAAGGGUUUAGAUUGUAUGCCAUGUCCUCUCCAGUGAUUAUUAAACAAAUUCUCAUCCUAAAGAAAGUUGCAAUUAAUACACCCAAAAUCUCAAUGAAUUAGCACAUACAUAUGUGAGCAACAAUGCCAUGCUAAUGGCUCACUGUCAUUGCUGGACAUUCACUCUCCAUUCAGCCCAUCACACUCAUAGAAUCAUAGAAUAUCAGGGUUGGAAGGGACCUCAGGAGGUCAUCUAGUCCAACCCCCUGCUCAAAGCAGGACCAAUCCCCAACUAAAUCAUCCCAGCCAGGGCUUUGUCAAGCCUGACCUUAAAAACCUCUGAGGAAGGAGAUUCCACCACCUCCCUAGGUAACGCAUUCCAGUGUUUCACCACCCUCCUAGUGAAAACGUUUUUCCUAAUAUCCAACUUAAUAUCCACUCACUCUCUUCCCAACCCACACACAGACACACACAGUCUCCUCUCAGCACAGACAUACGGGUAGACAACUCUCCCUCAAACAAGCCACACAGAGAGUUGUUACUAUGGGCUCCUUUCCAGUGGGGUCUUCUUUGGUGCCAGUACAGACAGCAACUGUGUGGUUGAACAGAAUGCACUUUGUAAGCGCUUUGAAUGCUCAGGGAAGAGAGAAAAAGCAGCAUUAGAAAAAAUAGAGCACUAGACCCAGUUCUAACCCUAAUGAUAAUAAUAAUGGUCAUUAUAAUAAAUAGUUACUAAAGCUAAGUUUCAUAAAACUGUUAUAAAAAGAUGAACAAUAAUUCAUAUUAUAGUAGUAGUAUUAUUAAAGAUAUUAAUAAAUUGUUGAUAAAACAUUAUAGAAUACAAUCAGUUAUAUAUAAUAGUGUUAAGUAUUGUAAUAAAUCAGAGCUCUACUUCUAGUGUUAAUAACUAGAGUAAUAAACAGUAACUAACUCUUCACUAAAGGAAUAAAUAAUAAGGCAUGAGGUCACUCUGGCUGUGAGUGGCUCCUCCGAUCCUCACUUAAGUCUCUACAGGGCUAGCAAAGAAACAAAGCAAGACACUGACCCAGCAGCUGCUGGGAUUCACUUGCCCCAUGCACUGCAGCCUUGGAGGCUCAUGCUCUGAUACACUGGAGAGUUACAGGGGCCAGAGAAUUGUUUCCCCCAAUAAUGGUUAUAUUUGUGGCUUCCCUUAUGGGGUAAUGGUCUCUAUGGGUAUGUCUACACUACAAAAUUAGGUCGAAUUUAUAGAAGUCGUUUUUUUAGAAAUCGUUUUUAUAUAGUCGAUUCUGUCCCCCCACACACAAAAUGCUCUA